Molecule: ribosomal RNA, 903 nt
Filed under: Sutcliffiella cohnii
Lineage: Bacteria; Bacillati; Bacillota; Bacilli; Caryophanales; Bacillaceae
Description: bacterial SSU rRNA
Rfam family: Bacterial small subunit ribosomal RNA
Source: RNAcentral
CGAACUUCUUUAGAGCUUGCUUUAAAGAAGUUAGCGGCGGACGGGUGAGUAACACGUGGGCAACCUGCCUGUAAGACUGGGAUAACUUCGGGAAACCGGAGCUAAUACCGGAUAAUAUAUAGUACCUCCUGGUACUAUAUUGAAAGUUGGUUUCGGCUAACACUUACAGAUGGGCCCGCGGCGCAUUAGCUAGUUGGUGAGGUAACGGCUCACCAAGGCAACGAUGCGUAGCCGACCUGAGAGGGUGAUCGGCCACACUGGGACUGAGACACGGCCCAGACUCCUACGGGAGGCAGCAGUAGGGAAUCUUCCACAAUGGACGAAAGUCUGAUGGAGCAACGCCGCGUGAGCGAUGAAGGCCUUCGGGUCGUAAAGCUCUGUUGUUAGGGAAGAACAAGUGCGAGAGUAACUGCUCGCACCUUGACGGUACCUAACCAGAAAGCCACGGCUAACUACGUGCCAGCAGCCGCGGUAAUACGUAGGUGGCAAGCGUUGUCCGGAAUUAUUGGGCGUAAAGCGCGCGCAGGCGGUUUCUUAAGUCUGAUGUGAAAGCCCACGGCUCAACCGUGGAGGGUCAUUGGAAACUGGGAGACUUGAGUGCAGAAGAGGAGAGUGGAAUUCCACGUGUAGCGGUGAAAUGCGUAGAGAUGUGGAGGAACACCAGUGGCGAAGGCGACUCUCUGGUCUGUAACUGACGCUGAGGCGCGAAAGCGUGGGGAGCAAACAGGAUUAGAUACCCUGGUAGUCCACGCCGUAAACGAUGAGUGCUAAGUGUUAGAGGGUUUCCGCCCUUUAGUGCUGCAGCUAACGCAUUAAGCACUCCGCCUGGGGAGUACGGUCGCAAGACUGAAACUCAAGGAAUUGACGGGGGCCCGCACAAGCGGUGGAGCAUGUGGUUUAAUU